UACAGAGGUCCCAAGCGUUGUUCGGAUUCACUGGGCGUAAAGGGUGCGCAGGUGGUCGAGUAAGUCUGACGUGAAAUCCCGCAGCUUAACUGCGGAAUGGCAUUGGAUACUAUUCGGCUAGAGGGUUGGAGGGGGGACUGGAAUUCUCGGUGUAGCAGUGAAAUGCGUAGAUAUCGAGAGGAACACCAGUGGCGAAGGCGAGUCCCUGGACAACUCCUGACGCUGAGGCACGAAAGCUAGGGGAGCAAACAGG
RNAcentral lists this ribosomal RNA (253 nucleotides) under uncultured bacterium. RNAcentral describes it as "partial 16S ribosomal RNA". It matches the Rfam family "Bacterial small subunit ribosomal RNA", at positions 524 to 776 of the family's 1533-position model. The record is from RNAcentral.